UGGACCAAUCAGCAGCUGCCACAUCGCUGCCUUUUAUCUUUAGGAGAGUUUCUCUCUCCGCGUAACCACUCCACACGCGUGCUGUCGGCACGUGUGCCACACGCGCCUAUCUGGAUCAAUUAAAACGCGCCAGCGGUCCCGGUUUGCAGAGUUCAACACAGUUUAAACUCUUCAUCACCUCUUUCUUCCACAUCAGAUUCAACAUGUCAAAUGCAAUGGUUUCAACCGUUGAAAGAGAGAUUCAACACUCCAUUGUAACUAGUCUUA
Molecule: long non-coding RNA, 267 nt
Filed under: Trifolium pratense (red clover)
Lineage: Eukaryota; Viridiplantae; Streptophyta; Magnoliopsida; Fabales; Fabaceae
Description: long non-coding RNA (TPRA_LNC009874)
Source: RNAcentral